RNAcentral lists this long non-coding RNA (374 nucleotides) under Salmo salar (Atlantic salmon). Its description in RNAcentral is "lncRNA (ENSSSAG00000107720.1)". Lineage: Eukaryota; Metazoa; Chordata; Actinopteri; Salmoniformes; Salmonidae. The record is from RNAcentral.
UCACAGGUGAUAUUCUCCUGGACCAGACAGCAUCACAGGUGAUAUUCUCCUGGACCAGACAGCAUCACAGGUGAUAUUCUCCUGGACCGGACAGCAUCACAGGUGAUAUUCUCCUGGACCAGACAGCAUCACAGGUGAUAUUCUCCUGGACCAGACAGCAUCACAGGUGAUAUUGUCCUGGACCAGACAGCAUCACAGGUGAUAUUCUCCUGGACCAGACAGCUGGGGGAUACACUAUUUAUACAAAAGCAUAGUGCCAACUGUAAAGUUUGGUGGAAUAAUGGUCUGGGGUUGUUUUUCAUGGUUUGGGCCCCUUAGUUCCAGUGAAGGGAAAUCUUAACGCUACACCAUACAAUUACAUUCUAGAGGAUUCU